GAUGAACGCUGGCGGCGUGCUUAACACAUGCAAGUCGAACGGUGAAAGAGAGCUUGCUCUCUGGAUCAGUGGCGAACGGGUGAGUAACACGUGAGCAAUCUGCCCCUGACUCUGGGAUAACAGCUGGAAACAGCUGCUAAUACCGGAUACGAGUUGCGAAGGCAUCUUCAGCAGCUGGAAAGAAUUUCGGUCAGGGAUGAGCUCGCGGCCUAUCAGCUUGUUGGUGAGGUAAUGGCUCACCAAGGCGUCGACGGGUAGCCGGCCUGAGAGGGUGACCGGCCACACUGGGACUGAGACACGGCCCAGACUCCUACGGGAGGCAGCAGUGGGGAAUAUUGCACAAUGGGCGAAAGCCUGAUGCAGCAACGCCGCGUGAGGGACGACGGCCUUCGGGUUGUAAACCUUUUUUAGCAAGGAAGAAGCGAAAGUGACGGUACUUGCAGAAAAAGCGCUGGCUAACUACGUGCCAGCCGCCGCGGUAA
This 482-nucleotide ribosomal RNA is filed under the name uncultured bacterium. RNAcentral describes it as "partial 16S ribosomal RNA". It matches the Rfam family "Bacterial small subunit ribosomal RNA", at positions 28 to 523 of the family's 1533-position model. The record is from RNAcentral.